Long non-coding RNA from Hippoglossus stenolepis (Pacific halibut), 385 nucleotides. RefSeq lists it as uncharacterized. Lineage: Eukaryota; Metazoa; Chordata; Actinopteri; Pleuronectiformes; Pleuronectidae. The transcript is spliced from 3 exons. The record is from RefSeq and is a predicted model, not a curated record.
UGGACCCCACUAAAUGUGAGAUGUGUGGAUGUCAGCACCUUCCCUCACCUGAUGGAUGGAUGGUGCUGCCAGGCGGCUCAGACAAUCCAUCACGCGGAGUCUACUUAAACGGCCGGCUUGGCUCUGCUCCUCUGGCGUGACUCUGAAGGGCAGCUGUGCGUGUGUGGGAGACCAAGGAAUUGAGGGGAAAUGUUCGCGCACAUUCCUUCAGAAGAGGGGCUUUUGCUGCAAAGAGAGGGCCGCGGAAUUUCCUAAGUGAUCUGGUUUGCAUUCCCUCUCAAGUCGGAUCCAUCUACAGAAGUUAUUAAAGAGCCCUUGCUACAGCCAAGGCCUGAAUUGAUUAGAAUCAUACACAGGCCCCUCUCCACUUUCUCGCUCACCAUAC